UCAAGUUAUUAAGGGUGCAGGGCGGAUGCCUUGGCACUAGGAGCCGAUGAAGGACGUGAUAAGCUGCGAUAAGCUUCGGGGAGUUGCACGUAAACUUUGAUCCGAAGAUUUCCGAAUGAGGAAACUCACUUAGAGUAAUGUCUAAGUAUCAUUAAGUGAAUACAUAGCUUAAUGAGGGGAACUCAGGGAACUGAAACAUCUAAGUACCUGAAGGAAGAGAAAGAAAUUCGAUUCCGUAAGUAGCGGCGAGCGAACGCGGAUUAGCCCAAACCAAUAAAGUUUUCUUUAUUGGGGUUGCGGACAUAUCAUAACGAAGAGGUAUCGUAAUUGAAGAGGUUUGGAAAGACCCACCACAGAAGGUAAUAGUCCUGUAUGUUAAACGAGAAGACUUCAGAUAUGAUCCAGAGUACCACGGGACACGUGAAACCCUGUGGGAAGCAGGAGGGACCACCCUCCAAGGCUAAAUACUACCUAGUGACCGAUAGCGUAUAGUACCGUGAGGGAAAGGUGAAAAGAACCCCGGGAGGGGAGUGAAAUAGAACCUGAAACCCUGCACUUACAAGCUGUGGAAGCACAUUUCUUGUGUGACCGCGUACUUUUUGUAGAACGGGCCAACGAGUUACGUUAAGUAGCAAGGUUAAGCACUUAAGGUGCGGAGCCGUAGCGAAAGCGAGUUUUAACUGAGCGUUCAGUUACUUGACGUAGACCCGAAACCGGGCGACCUACCCAUGAGCAGGAUGAAGCGAAAGUAAAAUUUCGUGGAGGUCCGAACCCACGAGCGUUGAAAAGCUCGGGGAUGACUUGUGGGUAGCGGUGAAAUUCCAAUCGAGCCCGGAGAUAGCUGGUUCUCCCCGAAAUAGCUUUAGGGCUAGCCUCAAGGUGAGAGAUACGGAGGUAGAGCACUGAAUGUCCUAGGGGGUAUUGCACCUACCGAAGACUAUCAAACUCCGAAUGCCGUCAUCUUAUACUUGGGAGUCAGACUGUGGGUGAUAAGAUUCAUAGUCGAAAGGGCAACAGCCCAGAUCGUCAGCUAAGGUCCCUAAAUGUAAGUUAAGUGGUAAAGGAUGUGGGAUUGCACAGACAACCAGGAUGUUGGCUUAGAAGCAGCCACUCAUUCAAAGAGUGCGUAAUAGCUCACUGGUCGAGUGAUCCUGCGCCGAAGAUUUCCGGGGCUAAAACUUACUACCGAAGCUACGGCAUCAGUAAUGAUGGGUAGGGGAGCUUCCCAUACGGGUUGAAGCAUGACCGUAAGGACAUGUGGACAGUAUGGGAGUGAGAAUGUUGGCAUGAGUAGCGAGAUGUGGGUGAGAAUCCCACAGGCCGUAAACCCAAGGUUUCCAGGGGAAGGUUCGUCCGCCCUGGGUUAGUCGGGACCUAAGCUGAGGCCGAAAGGCGUAGGUGAUGGACAACAGGUUGAUAUUCCUGUACUACCGAUAACCGUUUGAGAGAAGGGAUGACACAGUAGGAUAAGCUAAGCACACUGUUGGUUAUGUGUGCCCAAGCAUUGAGGCAGUCAAAGUAGGCAAAUCCGCUUUGAUAAUGCUGGGAUGUGAUGGGGAGCGAAAUUUAGUAGCGAAGUAGCUGAUUUCACACUGUCAAGAAAAGUCUCUAUCGAGGUUAAAGGUACCCGUACCGCAAACCGACACAGGUGGGUGAGGAGAGUAUCCUAAGGCCAGCGAGAGAACUGUUGUUAAGGAACUCGGCAAAAUGACCCCGUAACUUAGGGAUAAGGGGUGCCACCAUCAGGUGGCCGCAGAGAAUAGGCCCAAGCGACUGUUUACCAAAAACAUAGGUUUCUGCUAAGUCGCAAGACGAUGUAUAGGAGCUGACGCCUGCCCGGUGCUGGAAGGUUAAGGGGAUCUGUUAGAGCAAUCGAAGCAGUGAACUUAAGCCCCAGUAAACGGCGGCCGUAACUAUAACGGUCCUAAGGUAGCGAAAUUCCUUGUCGGGUAAGUUCCGACCCGCACGAAAGGCGUAACGAUUUGGGCACUGUCUCAACAACAGACUCGGUGAAAUUGUAAUUCCGGUGAAGAUGCCGGAUACCUGCGACAGGACGGAAAGACCCCAUGGAGCUUUACUGUAGCUUGACAUUGGGUUUUGGUACUACAUGUACAGGAUAGGUGGGAGGCUUUGAAACCAGGACGCCAGUUUUGGCGGAGCCAUCCUUGGGAUACCACCCUUGUAGUACUGGGACUCUAACCAUAGGCCAUGAAUCUGGUCUUGGGACACUGUCAGGCGGGCAGUUUGACUGGGGCGGUCGCCUCCCAAAAGGUAACGGAGGCGCUCAAAGGUUCUCUCAGUACGGUCGGAAAUCGUACGUAGAGUGUAAAGGCAAAAGAGAGCUUGAUUGCAAGACAUACAGGUCGAGCAAGGAUGAAAAUCGGACUUAGUGAUCCGGUGGUUCUGCGUGGAAGGGCCAUCGCUCAACGGAUAAAAGCUACCCUGGGGAUAACAGGCUUAUCUCCCCCAAGAGUCCACAUCGACGGGGAGGUUUGGCACCUCGAUGUCGGCUCAUCACAUCCUGGGGCUGUAGUAGGUCCCAAGGGUUGGGCUGUUCGCCCAUUAAAGUGGUACGCGAGCUGGGUUCAGAACGUCGUGAGACAGUUCGGUCCCUAUCCGUCGCAGGCGUAGGAAAUUUGAGAAGACCUGUCCUUAGUACGAGAGGACCGGGAUGGACGUACCUCUGGUGUACCAGUUGUUCUGCCAAGGGCAUGGCUGGGUAGCUAUGUACGGAAUGGAUAAGCGCUGAAAGCAUCUAAGCGCGAAGCCAACUUCAAGAUAAGAUUUCCCACCGCAAGGGUAAGACCCCAGAAAGACUAUCUGGUUGAUAGGUCGAAGGUGUAAGUGCAGCAAUGUAUUUAGCUUAUCGAUACUAAUAGGUCGAGGACUUGACCAA
Molecule: ribosomal RNA, 2896 nt
Filed under: Clostridioides difficile 2007855
Lineage: Bacteria; Bacillati; Bacillota; Clostridia; Peptostreptococcales; Peptostreptococcaceae
Also listed under: 2 other names
Description: bacterial LSU rRNA
Rfam family: Bacterial large subunit ribosomal RNA
Source: RNAcentral